Molecule: ribosomal RNA, 308 nt
Filed under: uncultured bacterium
Lineage: Bacteria
Description: bacterial SSU rRNA
Rfam family: Bacterial small subunit ribosomal RNA
Source: RNAcentral
GACGAACGCUGGCGGCGUGCCUAACACAUGCAAGUCGAACGGAAGUAAGAGCUUCGGUUUUUGCUUUAGUGGCGAACGGGUGAGUAACGCGUGAGGAACCUGCCUUUCAGUGGGGGACAACAGUUGGAAACGACUGCUAAUACCGCAUAAUGUUUCCGGUCCGCAUGGACUGGAAACCAAAGCUUUAUGUGCUGAAAGAUGGCCUCGCGUCUGAUUAGAUAGUUGGUGGGGUAACGGCCUACCAAGUCGACGAUCAGUAGCCGGACUGAGAGGUUGAACGGCCACAUUGGGACUGAGAUACGGCCCAG